ACAGAGGUUGCAAACGUUGUUCGGAAUCACUGGGCAUAAAGCGCACGUAGGCGGCUAAUUAAGUUAGGUGUGAAAUCCCCCGGCUCAACCGGGGAACUGCGCCUGAUACUGAUUGGCUUGAGAACGGUAGGGGUGAGCGGAACUCCAGGUGGAGCGGUGAAAUGCGUAGAUAUCUGGAGGAACACCGGUGGCGAAAGCGGCUCACUGGACCGUAACUGACGCUGAUGUGCGAAAGCUAGGGUAGCAAACGGGA
Molecule: ribosomal RNA, 253 nt
Filed under: uncultured prokaryote
Description: partial 16S ribosomal RNA
Rfam family: Bacterial small subunit ribosomal RNA
Source: RNAcentral